This 253-nucleotide ribosomal RNA is filed under the name uncultured bacterium. Its description in RNAcentral is "partial 16S ribosomal RNA". It matches the Rfam family "Bacterial small subunit ribosomal RNA", at positions 524 to 776 of the family's 1533-position model. The record is from RNAcentral.
UACGUAGGGUGCAAGCGUUAAUCGGAAUUACUGGGCGUAAAGCGUGCGCAGGCGGUUUUUUAAGCCAGAUGUGAAAUCCCCGGGCUCAACCUGGGAACUGCAUUUGGGACUGGAAGGCUAGAGUAUGGCAGAGGGGGGUGGAAUUCCACGUGUAGCAGUGAAAUGCGUAGAGAUGUGGAGGAACACCGAUGGCGAAGGCAGCCCCCUGGGCCUAUACUGACGCUCAUGCACGAAAGCGUGGGGAGCAAACAGG